CACUAGAAAGCUAAAUUAGGUCUAGCGUCAGCCUUUUAAGCUGAAGAUUGGUGACUCCUGACCACCUCUAGUGA
RNAcentral lists this transfer RNA (74 nucleotides) under Clupeichthys aesarnensis (Thai river sprat). RNAcentral describes it as "tRNA-Lys". It matches the Rfam family "tRNA". Rfam says of the family: Transfer RNA (tRNA) molecules are approximately 80 nucleotides in length. Their secondary structure includes four short double-helical elements and three loops (D, anti-codon, and T loops). The record is from RNAcentral. Lineage: Eukaryota; Metazoa; Chordata; Actinopteri; Clupeiformes; Clupeidae.